ACACAUGCAAGUCGAGGGGCAGCAUGAUUGAAGCUUGCUUCAAUUGAUGGCGACCGGCGCACGGGUGAGUAACGCGUAUCCAACCUUCCGUACACUCAGGGAUAGCCUUUCGAAAGAAAGAUUAAUACCUGAUGGUAUGAUGAGAUUGCAUGAUAUCAUCAUUAAAGAUUCAUCGGUGUACGAUGGGGAUGCGUUCCAUUAGGUAGUAGGCGGGGUAACGGCCCACCUAGCCUACGAUGGAUAGGGGUUCUGAGAGGAAGGUCCCCCACAUUGGAACUGAGACACGGUCCAAACUCCUACGGGAGGCAGCAGUGAGGAAUAUUGGUCAAUGGACGAGAGUCUGAACCAGCCAAGUAGCGUGAAGGAUGAAGGUCCUACGGAUUGUAAACUUCUUUUAUAAGGGAAUAAAACCUCCCACGUGUGGGAGCUUGUAUGUACCUUAUGAAUAAGCAUCGGCUAACUCCGUGCCAGCAGCCGCGGUAAUACGGAGGAUGCGAGCGUUAUCCGGAUUUAUUGGGUUUAAAGGGAGCGCAGACGGGCCGUUAAGUCAGCUGUGAAAGUUUGGGGCUCAACCUUAAAAUUGCAGUUGAUACUGGCGUCCUUGAGUGCGGUUGAGGUGUGCGGAAUUCGUGGUGUAGCGGUGAAAUGCUUAGAUAUCACGAAGAACUCCGAUUGCGAAGGCAGCACACUAAGCCGUAACUGACGUUCAUGCUCGAAAGUGUGGGUAUCAAACAGGAUUAGAUACCCUGGUAGUCCACACGGUAAACGAUGGAUACUCGCUGUUGGCGAUAUACAGUCAGCGGCUUAGCGAAAGCGUUAAGUAUCCCACCUGGGGAGUACGCCGG
Molecule: ribosomal RNA, 845 nt
Filed under: uncultured bacterium
Lineage: Bacteria
Description: bacterial SSU rRNA
Rfam family: Bacterial small subunit ribosomal RNA
Source: RNAcentral